AGCGAACGCUGGCGGCAGGCCUAACACAUGCAAGUCGAACGAACCUUUCGGGGUUAGUGGCGGACGGGUGAGUAACACGUGGGAACGUGCCUUUAGGUUCGGAAUAACUCAGGGAAACUUGUGCUAAUACCGAAUGUGCCCUUCGGGGGAAAGAUUAAUCGCCUUUAGAGCGGCCCGCGUCUGAUUCGCUAGUUGGUUGAGGUAAUGGCUCACCAAGGCGACGAUCAGUAGCUGGUCGGAGAGGAGGAUCAGCCACAUUGGGACUGAGACACGGCCCAAACUCCUACGGGAGGCAGCAGUGGGGAAUAUUGCGCAAUGGGCGAAAGCCUGACGCAGCCAUGCCGGGUGAAUGAUGAAGGUCUUAGGAUUGUAAAAUUCUUUCACCGGGGACGAUAAUGACGGUACCCGGAGAAGAAGCACCGGCUAACUUCGUG
This 434-nucleotide ribosomal RNA is filed under the name uncultured bacterium. RNAcentral describes it as "partial 16S ribosomal RNA". It matches the Rfam family "Bacterial small subunit ribosomal RNA", at positions 29 to 507 of the family's 1533-position model. The record is from RNAcentral.